CAGCUUGCUGGGUGGAUUAGUGGCGAACGGGUGAGUAACACGUGAGUAACCUGCCCUUAACUCUGGGAUAAGCCUGGGAAACUGGGUCUAAUACCGGAUAGGAGCGUCCACCGCAUGGUGGGUGUUGGAAAGAUUUAUCGGUUUUGGAUGGACUCGCGGCCUAUCAGCUUGUUGGUGAGGUAAUGGCUCACCAAGGCGACGACGGGUAGCCGGCCUGAGAGGGUGACCGGCCACACUGGGACUGAGACACGGCCCAGACUCCUACGGGAGGCAGCAGUGGGGAAUAUUGCACAAUGGGCGCAAGCCUGAUGCAGCGACGCCGCGUGAGGGAUGACGGCCUUCGGGUUGUAAACCUCUUUCAGUAGGGAAGAAGCGAAAGUGACGGUACCUGCAGAAGAAGCACCGGCUAACUACGUGCCAGCAGCCGCGGUAAUACGUAGGGUGCGAGCGUUAUCCGGAAUUAUUGGGCGUAAAGAGCUCGUAGGCGGUUUGUCGCGUCUGUCGUGAAAGUCCGGGGCUUAACCCCGGAUCUGCGGUGGGUACGGGCAGACUAGAGUGCAGUAGGGGAGACUGGAAUUCCUGGUGUAGCGGUGGAAUGCGCAGAUAUCAGGAGGAACACCGAUGGCGAAGGCAGGUCUCUGGGCUGUAACUGACGCUGAGGAGCGAAAGCAUGGGGAGCGAACAGGAUUAGAUACCCUGGUAGUCCAUGCCGUAAACGUUGGGCACUAGGUGUGGGGACCAUUCCACGGUUUCCGCGCCGCAGCUAACGCAUUAAGUGCCCCGCCUGGGGAGUACGGCCGCAAGGCUAAAACUCAAAGGAAUUGACGGGGGCCCGCACAAGCGGCGGAGCAUGCGGAUUAAUUCGAUGCAACGCGAAGAACCUUACCAAGGCUUGACAUGUUCUCGAUCGCCGUAGAGAUACGGUUUCCCCUUUGGGGCCGGGUUCACAGGUGGUGCAUGGUUGUCGUCAGCUCGUGUCGUGAGAUGUUGGGUUAAGUCCCGCAACGAGCGCAACCCUCGUUCCAUGUUGCCAGCACGUAAUGGUGGGGACUCAUGGGAGACUGCCGGGGUCAACUCGGAGGAAGGUGAGGACGACGUCAAAUCAUCAUGCCCCUUAUGUCUUGGGCUUCACGCAUGCUACAAUGGCCGGUACAAUGGGUUGCGAUACUGUGAGGUGGAGCUAAUCCCAAAAAGCCGGUCUCAGUUCGGAUUGGGGUCUGCAACUCGACCCCAUGAAGUCGGAGUCGCUAGUAAUCGCAGAUCAGCAACGCUGCGGUGAAUACGUUCCCGGGCCU
RNAcentral lists this ribosomal RNA (1295 nucleotides) under Micrococcus sp. Its description in RNAcentral is "bacterial SSU rRNA". It matches the Rfam family "Bacterial small subunit ribosomal RNA", at positions 76 to 1381 of the family's 1533-position model. Lineage: Bacteria; Bacillati; Actinomycetota; Actinomycetes; Micrococcales; Micrococcaceae. The record is from RNAcentral.